Molecule: ribosomal RNA, 253 nt
Filed under: uncultured bacterium
Lineage: Bacteria
Description: partial 16S ribosomal RNA
Rfam family: Bacterial small subunit ribosomal RNA
Source: RNAcentral
UACGUAGGGUGCGAGCGUUGUCCGGAAUUAUUGGGCGUAAAGAGCUCGUAGGCGGUUUGUCGCGUCUGCCGUGAAAGUCCGGGGCUCAACUCCGGAUCUGCGGUGGGUACGGGCAGACUAGAGUGAUGUAGGGGAGACUGGAAUUCCUGGUGUAGCGGUGAAAUGCGCAGAGAUCAGGAGGAACACCGGUGGCGAAGGCGGUUCUCUGGGCAUUACCUGACGCUGAGGAGCGAAAGUGUGGGGAGCGAACAGG